UUUUCAUUAUUUUUUAAAACAAAAAGGACAUAAGAAAUGAAAUUGAUUGCUCUUUCUCUUGGUUUAGUUAAUACAUUGGGUAAAUUAGCCGUAUCCAAUAAAGAAAUAAACCAAUAAAAGUGUGUGAAAGAAAAUAUUGUAAACCACCGUAAAGUAGAUAAUAAGUUUUCAGCCAUAUUGUAGUGAAACAAAGUUGACCAAAAAUUAUAUGACAAAAUAGCGAUAGGGGAGCUGGGGGCGAAGCCAGAGCUCAGAGAAAGCAACAACAAAUGAACAAGAAAAGUCAAUGGGAAAGAAAUCAAGACACUAUUACAAAUAACGACAGAUGCCGGAGCAACUUCCUGCAAGAUAUCGGUGGUGGAGCUACUUUUAUCCCAUCUUUUUGAUUUUUGUACUGAUCUAUAUACGAGUGUUUUCCCGAUGUACUUUUUUUGGGGCCAGUGGGGCUCGCCAGUGUUUAGAUUUUUCUUUUAACCAUGAUUUGAAUAUGGAUAGGCAAGAAAGGUGAAUCGUGAUCAAAGAGUUUUUGGGUCAGGUGGCUUCCAUGAUGUUCAUACAUAUCUAAUUUUUAGUUGUGGUGGCUAUUUUAAUAGGCACCGGGCUGUUAUAGAAGAGAGAGAGAGAGAGAUUUCUAGAGGCUAGCCGACUGGUUGAUCUCGCUGGCGCCAGCAACUGCCAAAGGAUGGAGAGACCAUUUUUUUUCAGUGAAAUUUAUUACCCACAAUAAUGGUGGAGGGCAUGAGAGAGAAAGGGGAGGAUUUUGAUAGUAGGGAAAAGGUGAGAGAAAAAAAAAAUAAAAGAAAAAAAUAAAAUUUACAAUGAAAAAGAAAUAUUA
This 835-nucleotide long non-coding RNA is filed under the name Nicotiana benthamiana. RNAcentral's name for it is "long non-coding RNA (NBEN_LNC026465)". Lineage: Eukaryota; Viridiplantae; Streptophyta; Magnoliopsida; Solanales; Solanaceae. The record is from RNAcentral.